GACGAACGCUGGCGGCGUGCCUAAUACAUGCAAGUCGAACGAACCGCGACUAAGUGCUUGCACUAAGUCAAGGUGAGUGGCGAACGGGUGAGUAACACGUGGGUAACCUACCUCAUAGUGGGGGAUAACAGUCGGAAACGACUGCUAAUACCGCAUAGGACAUAGGAUCACAUGAUCCAGUGAUGAAAGGUGGCGCAAGCUAUCGCUACGCUAUGGACCCGCGGUGCAUUAGCUAGUUGGUAGGGUAAAGGCCUACCAAGGCGAUGAUGCAUAGCCGACCUGAGAGGGGGAUCGGCCACAUUGGAACUGAGACACGGCCCAAACUACUACGGGAGGCAGCAGUAGGGAAUCUUCCGCAAUGGACGCAAGUCUGACGGAGCAACGCCGCGUGAGUGAAGAAGGUCUUCGGAUCGUAAAGCUCUGUUGUUAGAGAAGAACAGCGCAUAGAGUAACUGAUAUGCGUGUGACGGUAUCUAAUCAGAAAGCCACGGCUAACUACGUG
Molecule: ribosomal RNA, 502 nt
Filed under: uncultured bacterium
Lineage: Bacteria
Description: partial 16S ribosomal RNA
Rfam family: Bacterial small subunit ribosomal RNA
Source: RNAcentral